AUACACACUGAUGUGUGUGGCUCAUUUGAUGUACAUAUUAGGGGUGGUUAUCUCUGUUAAGGAUUUUAUAGGUUGGCGGAUUUCGUAAUGUUGAAUGGAGUCUUUAUGAGUUGAUUGCGGAAGAUUGAAGAAAAGAUCUAAAUUGAAGGAAAAAGACUCACUCGUAAAGUUCGGCACCUAAGGUAUGAGGAAAAGAUCAUUUGUGGUGAAGAUAUUUGAUUAGAAUAAGUUCAGAAGGCUUAGAUUG
Molecule: long non-coding RNA, 247 nt
Filed under: Ananas comosus (pineapple)
Lineage: Eukaryota; Viridiplantae; Streptophyta; Magnoliopsida; Poales; Bromeliaceae
Description: long non-coding RNA (ACOM_LNC037412)
Source: RNAcentral